This 456-nucleotide ribosomal RNA is filed under the name uncultured Desulfocapsa sp. RNAcentral describes it as "bacterial SSU rRNA". It matches the Rfam family "Bacterial small subunit ribosomal RNA", at positions 925 to 1382 of the family's 1533-position model. Lineage: Bacteria; Pseudomonadati; Thermodesulfobacteriota; Desulfobulbia; Desulfobulbales; Desulfocapsaceae. The record is from RNAcentral.
ACAAGCGGUGGAGCAUGUGGUUAAUUCGAUGCAACGCGAAGAACUUACCUGGGCUUGACAUCCCGGGAAUCCCUUGGAAACAAGGGAGUGCCCUUCGGGGAACCUGGAGACAGGUGCUGCAUGGCUGUCGUCAGCUCGUGUCGUGAGAUGUAGGGUUAAGUCCCGCAACGAGCGCAACCCUUGUCUUUAAUUGCCAUCAUUGAGUUGGGCACUUUAAAGAGACUGCCGGUGUCAAACCGGAGGAAGGUGGGGAUGACGUCAAGUCCUCAUGGCCUUUAUGACCAGGGCUACACACGUACUACAAUGGCCGGUACAAAGGGCAGCCACUCAGCGAUGAGGCGCUAAUCCCAUAAAGCCGGUCUCAGUCCGGAUCGCAGUCUGCAACUCGACUGCGUGAAGUUGGAAUCGCUAGUAAUCGUAGAUCAGCAUGCUACGGUGAAUACGUUCCCGGGCCUU